Long non-coding RNA from Pseudopipra pipra, 234 nucleotides. RefSeq lists it as uncharacterized. The record is from RefSeq and is a predicted model, not a curated record. NCBI's taxonomy places the organism in Eukaryota, Metazoa, Chordata, Aves, Passeriformes, Pipridae. The transcript has 2 exons.
GCGGCCGCCGUAGGGCCCCGCCCGCGCGGGGCGGAGCGGCCGCGGUGCCACGUCCCGACGGGCGCGGAGCGGCAGCGGCGCGGCCCGGCCAUGGGCGCCUCGCAGAGCAUCGACAUCCCCGGCGGCGGCACCGAGGGCUACCACGUCCUGCGGGUACAAGAAAACUCACCGGGGCAUAGAGCUGGAUUGGAGCCAUUCUUUGAUUUUAUUGUGUCCAUUAACGGUUCAAGAUUG